AACUCAGUCAGGCUGUGUGAUUUUAGAUGCCAAAAUUGGGCAUCUGUCAUACGAGAAAUGCUUAGCAAAAGUUAUACUGUCUAUUGUAAGUUCUAUGCUGCUCAUUUCAUCUAAUUUGUGCCCUGGGUAGGUCUCGGGAAGUUAGAAGAGAAACAGAUUCCUUUUCGGUCAGUGUAGUUUAGAAUCAAAUGACAGUUUGAUUGAUGGAAGAAUAAUGCAUUCAGUUUCCUCCAAUUUGCAUAUUGCGGUAACUGUUAAUAGGGUAUUGAUGAAUCUCAGUUUUGUAAGCCUGGAUUUAGGCUUUGCAGCAUCAGCUGAGAACAUCACAGCAUGGCUUCUGUGUUGAUCGUUAUAGGGACAACAGAAGCCAUUACCUGCAAUUUGAGAACCCAUGCAUAGCAUUAGCAAGAUAAUGAGCUAAUGACCUAAAGCAAUUUGAGGGUUAUGACAUAUACUCAUAUAUCUAACUUAAGCCAGUAUAAGUUAACCUGUGCCCGGGCUCGAGAACUGGGCUGAGCCCACUCUUGCUUGGUUUAUCUUGUAUUGAUUAGCGAGCAUUUUCUAGUCUUGGGGUCUGCUUACAAAAUUAUGAUCUUAUUAUAAGAUGUUUCAGUUAUUUGCUUUUCUUUUCUAAAACUUCUAGAGAAUCUGGACCAUAUCUUUGUAUCAGAUA
RNAcentral lists this long non-coding RNA (673 nucleotides) under Phoenix dactylifera (date palm). RNAcentral describes it as "long non-coding RNA (PDAC_LNC019643)". Lineage: Eukaryota; Viridiplantae; Streptophyta; Magnoliopsida; Arecales; Arecaceae. The record is from RNAcentral.